RNAcentral lists this ribosomal RNA (136 nucleotides) under uncultured eukaryote. RNAcentral's name for it is "partial 18S ribosomal RNA". It matches the Rfam family "Eukaryotic small subunit ribosomal RNA", at positions 1299 to 1458 of the family's 1831-position model. The record is from RNAcentral.
UGGUGGAGUGAUUUGUCUGGUUAAUUCCGAUAACGAACGAGACCUUAACCUGCUAACUAGUUCAGUUCUGAAUAAGAAUUGUAACUUCUUAGAGGGACUAUGUGUGUUAAGUACAUGGAAGUUUGAGGCAAUAACA